GAUGAACGCUGGCGGCGUGCCUAAUACAUGCAAGUCGAGCGAACAGACGAGGAGCUUGCUCCUCUGACGUUAGCGGCGGACGGGUGAGUAACACGUGGAUAACCUACCUAUAAGACUGGGAUAACUUCGGGAAACCGGAGCUAAUACCGGAUAAUAUAUUGAACCGCAUGGUUCAAUAGUGAAAGACGGUUUUGCUGUCACUUAUAGAUGGAUCCGCGCCGCAUUAGCUAGUUGGUAAGGUAACGGCUUACCAAGGCGACGAUGCGUAGCCGACCUGAGAGGGUGAUCGGCCACACUGGAACUGAGACACGGUCCAGACUCCUACGGGAGGCAGCAGUAGGGAAUCUUCCGCAAUGGGCGAAAGCUUGACGGAGCAACGCCGCGUGAGUGAUGAAGGUCUUCGGAUCGUAAAACUCUGUUAUUAGGGAAGAGCAAAUGUGUAAGUAACUAUGCACGUCUUGACGGUACCUAAUCAGAAAGCCACGGCUAACUACGUG
Molecule: ribosomal RNA, 497 nt
Filed under: uncultured bacterium
Lineage: Bacteria
Description: partial 16S ribosomal RNA
Rfam family: Bacterial small subunit ribosomal RNA
Source: RNAcentral